CUCAGAAUGGAGAGUGAGAAUUUGGGCUGCUUAAUUCUUAGCUAGAAUGACCCCAACUCUACCUUGAAACAUUUCAUAGGUUAGCCUCUCAUGAACCAUUCUCAUAGCAUCUGGUAGAUUUCCAUCAAGCUGGCUAAAAGGAGGCCUGGUGCCUGGAGAAUCCAGUAUCUUCUUGAGCUGUGAGAUAACUAUUGCUCCCUGGGACAGCAUCAUAGAAAACUGAAGGACCAGAUCUCUGAACUGUUGACUUAGGAACCCAGGGAGUCGAGCACACGAGGCAAACGCACUGCCAGCUUCUGAAAAAGUCUUAUUCCUAAAGUUAAUCAUACUUCUUGAAAACUUUCAUUCUGAUUUUUUUCUCAUUGUGCCAAAAAAAAAAAAAAAUCCUAGGCUUUGAAUAAAAGGAUCUCCUGCUCCAUAUGUGCAGUCCCCCGCACAUUCCAAAGCUGACUUUCCCAGCCAUCAAUAACAGAGAGCAGGUGGCACAGGAGAGCCACAGAAGCAGGGUUUAAAAAAUCACCCCUGACCUCGACAAGAGACAAAAACAGAAACCAAUUCAUGCGAGUGAAAGGCAACCUCACAGAUUCCACAUUCCCCACACCGAGCCACUCUCGGUGCUGUGUUUAAGAGAGACAAGUUCUAGAAAACCAUCCAGACGGUGCCACUGGCCUGACUCGUUGCCACCGGCAGGGACUUGGCAGUCCUUCCAUGUACUGUAUAAAACUGAGGCUCUGGAUCUCAGCAGAGGAGGCUGGAAACUUCCUGUCCCACUCCAGAACUCAGUAAAAGCCUUCAGCUUAGGGCAGCCAGGCCCAUGCAUGUCCCAAAGCCACCUCUGAGCACUGGGGUCUUUUGAUUUUGCAUGCAGCGCAAUGGUGCAAAGCAAAGUUAUCCAUGGGCACUACUGUCUCACUUCAGGCUAUUCCACACCCACACGCUUUCCUCUCCAGAUUUAAGGCCAGUUCACAGGGUGGAGGAUGGCAAUUCGACCCUGAGAAUACCUGUAUUCCCAACACCUGGGAGACUAACAAAGAAAGACAGAAAAGCUUCCAGGACAAGGUCAGUCUGGGCACAAAGUGAAUCUGAGUGAGAACGGGGAAGGGGGGGAUAGGAAGGGGAGGGAAAAGGUAGGAGGGGGAGGAGGUGUUGGGAGGAGAAGAUGCAGAACCACUUCUGACCAAACCCAACCACACCUGGCUUAAAGGGAGAGAGAGGGGCAAAACAACCCUGUAAAUUCAAGAGGCAAAGGGGGUCAGAAUUGUAGAAGGCCAGUGUUGAACAGAGACAUAGCCUCGAAUGUCUGCUCAUUGGUAAAGGGAUGACCUCAGUUCCAAAUGAUCGAUUCAGCAUGAAAGUAGAGUCAGUAUUCAACAAGUUGAAUGCUGUGUGUGUGUGUGUGUGUGUGUGAGAGAGAGAGAGAGAGAGAGAGAGAGAGAGAGAGAGACAGAGAGAGAGACAGAGAGAGAGACAGAGAGAGAAAGACAGAGAGACAGACAGACAGAGACAGACAGACAGACAGACAGACAGACAGACAGACAGACAGACAGAGACAGAGACAGAGACAGAGACAGAGACAGAGGGGAGAGAGAAAUUCACAAACUAUUUAUGGCAUUCUAAGGGUUAAACAAGGCCACAUCUUUAGAGAUUCAAUUUAAAACCUAUCUUUCCCCCUCUCCCAUUUUGCAUCAGAGCCUCUCUGGAACAAAGCAGGCACUCUCCUGAGCUACAUUCCUCAGUCCACAGUCCAUCUUGUAGGCACAAACCCUAGAGAUAAGAGAGGCCACCAAGUCUCUGAUAUUUGAUUAGGUACCCCUGGUUAAAAUCAUGGCUCUUGAGCUAGAAUCAAGAACCCAGGUAAGGAGUCUCUUGGAGUCCUUCUUGUGCCUCCUCAGAUGUUAAAAAGGGCAACCUCAGGCAGGAUCCCAGAGGCACCCCAUCUGGAACCACCGCUUUCAAAGAGAGAGGAGGCCCAGGGGAAACCACAGUUGCUUUUCUAGGGGGAUGCGCCAUCUGCAGAUGGCAGCCACCUGCAAAGCAGGGGAAAGAGGCAGACCCUCCUACUGGGAGGUAAGGGAGAGCAAUGAGCAAGAAAGGGCUGGAAUUAGGAAGAAAGAGGUUCCCUCCACACACAAGAGUCCUUGAAGACAUUUCAUUUCUUAAGCAGGGCUGGCAGUCCUGAGAGAAUGCUCAGAUAGCAGCGGGAUGGAUGCACUUUUUGACUUUUAGGGCCUUCCAGGAGCUCCACUGGCCUUUCCUGGAUGGUGCAUCUCUGGCCCAAAUACACACCCCUUAAAAGGACCCUUUGGUGGUGAAGGAUUCCUAGCCUGGGAGGUCACUCUGACAGGCAGGAUUACUUCACUCUGCCUAACUCGGCCACGUCUUUGAAGUCUGUAUUACUCUCUCUUCCCACCAUCGGCAUCCACAGCGCCACAAAGCCUACCUUGACACUGGAAUCCCUGCUUCCCGAA
Molecule: long non-coding RNA, 2468 nt
Organism: Mus musculus (house mouse)
Lineage: Eukaryota; Metazoa; Chordata; Mammalia; Rodentia; Muridae
Product: predicted gene, 51497
Exons: 3
Source: RefSeq, a predicted model, not a curated record